UUUAAGAAUGGUUGUGGCUUUCCGUGUCCAAUGUUUGACCAUUUGUUUUAUUUGAAUUUUUUUUAAUUAGUAUUUUUAUUGUUACGAGAUGAUAUGACAUGAAUAGUAUUUUAUUCAUUUUUUAUUUUUAUCAUAAAUUUUUUAAAUAAAACGGACGAUCAAACAUGGAAAAUGAGAUGG
This 180-nucleotide microRNA precursor is filed under the name Oryza meridionalis. RNAcentral describes it as "MIR812 microRNA precursor family". It matches the Rfam family "MIR812 microRNA precursor family". Lineage: Eukaryota; Viridiplantae; Streptophyta; Magnoliopsida; Poales; Poaceae. The record is from Rfam by way of RNAcentral.